CCUACGGGGAGCAGCAGUGGGGAAUAUUGGACAAUGGGCGAAAGCCUGAUCCAGCCAUGCCGCGUGUGUGAAGAAGGCCUUCGGGUUGUAAAGCACUUUCAGUGGGGAAGAAAGCCUUGGGGCUAAUACCCUCGAGGAAGGACAUCACCCACAGAAGAAGCACCGGCUAACUCCGUGCCAGCAGCCGCGGUAAUACGGAGGGUGCGAGCGUUAAUCGGAAUUACUGGGCGUAAAGCGCGCGUAGGCGGUCUGAUAAGCCGGUUGUGAAAGCCCCGGGCUCAACCUGGGAACGGCAUCCGGAACUGUCAGGCUAGAGUGCAGGAGAGGAAGGUAGAAGUCCCGGUGUAGCGGUGAAAUGCGUAGAGAUCGGGAGGAAUACCAGUGGCGAAGGCGGCCUUCUGGACUGACACUGACGCUGAGGUGCGAAAGCGUGGGUAGCAAACAGGAUUAGAUACCCGUGUAGUC
This 465-nucleotide ribosomal RNA is filed under the name Vreelandella stevensii. RNAcentral describes it as "partial 16S ribosomal RNA". It matches the Rfam family "Bacterial small subunit ribosomal RNA", at positions 338 to 795 of the family's 1533-position model. The record is from RNAcentral. Lineage: Bacteria; Pseudomonadati; Pseudomonadota; Gammaproteobacteria; Oceanospirillales; Halomonadaceae.